RNAcentral lists this transfer RNA (74 nucleotides) under Propionibacteriaceae bacterium ES.041. RNAcentral describes it as "tRNA-Gly". It matches the Rfam family "tRNA". Rfam says of the family: Transfer RNA (tRNA) molecules are approximately 80 nucleotides in length. Their secondary structure includes four short double-helical elements and three loops (D, anti-codon, and T loops). RNAcentral also lists the same sequence under 1 other name. The record is from RNAcentral. Lineage: Bacteria; Bacillati; Actinomycetota; Actinomycetes; Propionibacteriales; Propionibacteriaceae.
GCGGGCGUAGUUCAGUGGCAGAACGGCACCCUUCCCGGGUGCAGACGUGAGUUCGAUCCUUGCCGCCCGCUCCA